CUGACACCCAGAGCUCUUCAAUAAAACACCUUCAUUUAAUCAUUCUGUGAUUAUGUGUGUUCCUGAACACUAACACUUUGGUGACCCCAGAUGGGACCUUGUGAGUGCUGCUGAGUGAACUCGCAACCCGAUCACGCUCCAGCCAGCACCGAGGGAUUCUCAGGGACCCUAUCAGCUGCGACCGUCUCUGCUGCUCACAACAUCCUUAGGAGAGAAAGGAAAGUCGGAAACUGCUUGCCUUUGAGUGGGAAAAUCCAGAAAAUGGAAGGAAAACUCAGCUCACCUGAACACGACUCCCACAAGGAACCAAAACAGCCCAACCCUAUUUGGAAGCCAGCUGGCUAAGGAGCUGGAGAUUUGGAUCGAAAACGGGCAAGUACGGAGAGAACAAUACCUGCUGUUACAGUGUGUUGAUGAUAUACUGACAGCUACAGAAGAGAAAACAACCUGCAUAAAGGUAACAAUUGAAAUUUUAAAUCAGCUGGGAAUGGGAGGAUAUAAGGUGUAUAAAGAAAAAGGCACAAAUUGCCCAACAAACUGUGAUUUACCUGAGAUGUGAAAUCUCACAAAGGCAACGUAAACUGGGUACUAAUCAUAUUCAAGCUAUUUGUGCUAUUUCAGAACCCCAGAACCUGCAUGAGCUACAAGUUUCCUUGGGAUGACAGGGUGGUGCCUCCUGUGGAUCAUGGACUAUGGACUAAUUGUAAAAUCCCUGUAUGAAGCCCAUAAGACACAGCUGUUUACCUGGAGCAAACCACAGAAGGAGACCUUCCUCAAACUGAAGGAGGCAUUGACAACUGCUCCGGCAUUAGGAUUGCCUGAUUUAUCCAAAGAUAUUCAGCUGUUUGGCGAUGAAAGACCACACCUAGCACUGGGAGUGCUGACCCAACCUUUGGGAAGCUGGAAAAGGCUGGUAGGCUGCUUCUCCAAACAACUUGACAACGAGAGUGCUGGAUGGCCUUCAUGCCUGUGGGCAGUUGCAGCCACCGUGAUGCUGAUACAAGAGGCUA
Long non-coding RNA from Parus major (Great Tit), 1010 nucleotides. RefSeq lists it as uncharacterized. The record is from RefSeq and is a predicted model, not a curated record. The transcript is spliced from 2 exons. Lineage: Eukaryota; Metazoa; Chordata; Aves; Passeriformes; Paridae.